AUGAUCAAUAUUAGAGAGAAUGGUUUACACCAUCGCCGAAGGAGCAAGUAAUCAAGGAUUAUGAAUCUCUCAGGCAAAAGGAUAAUAUUGUGACG
This 95-nucleotide non-coding RNA is filed under the name Staphylococcus hyicus. Its description in RNAcentral is "Glycine sequence". It matches the Rfam family "Glycine riboswitch aptamer". Rfam says of the family: This family represents the bacterial glycine riboswitch. Glycine riboswitches usually consist of two metabolite-binding aptamers domains with similar structures in tandem. Lineage: Bacteria; Bacillati; Bacillota; Bacilli; Caryophanales; Staphylococcaceae. The record is from RNAcentral.